AUGAGAAUGAGAUUAGGGUUGAGAUUAUGUGACUAUCCAGCUUCAGUUUGUAAACGUGGUUCUUCUCCUCCGCGAAACACGAGCGACACUACUCCCUUCUUUCUCCGGUCGAUUCUUUCUCAGGUCUCCCAUCAUCACAUACCGCCGUCUCCGUGUUAUCAUCUUCUUCAUCAAGAUUCCGCCAUGCACUGUCAAACAACGACCAUGCCUGAUUGA
Molecule: non-coding RNA, 216 nt
Organism: Vicia faba (fava bean)
Lineage: Eukaryota; Viridiplantae; Streptophyta; Magnoliopsida; Fabales; Fabaceae
Source: the annotation of a GenBank genome assembly